RNAcentral lists this ribosomal RNA (490 nucleotides) under uncultured bacterium. RNAcentral describes it as "partial 16S ribosomal RNA". It matches the Rfam family "Bacterial small subunit ribosomal RNA", at positions 29 to 507 of the family's 1533-position model. The record is from RNAcentral.
AAUGAACGCUGGCGGCAUGCCUUACACAUGCAAGUCGAACGGCAGCAUGACCUCGCUUGCUAGGUUGAUGGCGAGUGGCGCACGGGUGAGUAAUGCAUCGGAACGUGCCUUUUAGUGGGGGAUAACGUAGCGAAAGUUACGCUAAUACCGCAUAUUCUCUGAGGAGGAAAGCAGGGGACCUUCGGGCCUUGCGCUAGAAGAGCGGCCGAUGUCGGAUUAGCUAGUUGGUGAGGUAAAGGCUCACCAAGGCAACGAUCCGUAGCGGGUCUGAGAGGAUGAUCCGCCACACUGGGACUGAGACAAGGCCCAGACUCCUACGGGAGGCAGCAGUGGGGAAUUUUGGACAAUGGGCGCAAGCCUGAUCCAGCCAUGCCGCGUGAGUGAAGAAGGCCUUCGGGUUGUAAAGCUCUUUCGGCUGGGAAGAAAUCGCACCCUCUAAUACAGGGUGUGGAUGACGGUACCAGCAUAAGAAGCACCGGCUAACUACGUG